UUUUGAAUGAUCUCCAAAAUAUUUAGCUUGUUAAUCACCAGUGCAUCAAACACUGCAUUCAAACCCAGUACUGUAAUUCCUUGCUCUUUGCACAGCAUGGCUAUUGCACCUAGGAGAACACUCACCAGCACCCAGAAUACAGAAAAAUUAUGUCCUUCCUUAUUUUCUCUAAACGCUUUACAGUAGCCGAGGAAUGACAACAAAAAGAACAGGGCACAUAGGAGAUCUGCUCUGCCAACAAUCCCUGCAACACAUUCAGUGUGCACUGGAUGUACAGCAAACAGCAAAGCAGCUAGAAGAGAUGUCUUUGGAGCCAGGUUUAGUCUUCUUCCUUUAUUAGUGAAUUGUAAUCCACCCAGUAAUAUUGAG
This 369-nucleotide long non-coding RNA is filed under the name Gallus gallus (chicken). Lineage: Eukaryota; Metazoa; Chordata; Aves; Galliformes; Phasianidae. The record is from RNAcentral.